Molecule: ribosomal RNA, 294 nt
Filed under: Triticum aestivum (bread wheat)
Lineage: Eukaryota; Viridiplantae; Streptophyta; Magnoliopsida; Poales; Poaceae
Description: partial small subunit ribosomal RNA
Source: RNAcentral
CUUCGUCUGAUCUGGGACAUCCGCCUCCCCCUAAAGAUUCGGAUCUUUCUUUGGCAAUGGAUCCGCGGCCGCCUCCCGACCGGCGUUGAGGUUCUUAAGCGCCAUGGUCCUGGCGAUGGAAUGUGCCCCAUGUGUGGCACGGUAGAGGACGCUAAUCACAUCUUCUUCUCUUGCUACACGGCACAGUUCCUUUGGUCUUGUUUCCGCGAGACGGUUGGGGGACAAUGGUGCAACACCAACUUCCCUGACUUGCUUGCGGAAAUUCAAGCCUCCCCCUCGCUACAGACAUAUUAG